AAGUCGUAACAAGGUAACCGUAGGUGAACCUGCGGUUGGAUCAUUAACAAUGGUUUUCAAACCUUAUACUGUGCACUAUACUGUUCUUGGUAGCUCUUGCCCUCAAGCAGGGGCUACCGACAUUUUUAAACAAUGUAUCUAAUGAGUCUUGAAUUUGUAUUAAAAACGUAAAACUUUUGACAACGGAUCUCUUGGCUCUC
RNAcentral lists this unclassified non-coding RNA (200 nucleotides) under fungal sp. RNAcentral describes it as "partial internal transcribed spacer region". The stretch from base 1 to 46 matches the Rfam family "Eukaryotic small subunit ribosomal RNA", at positions 1786 to 1831 of the family's 1831-position model. Lineage: Eukaryota; Fungi. The record is from RNAcentral.